This 1281-nucleotide long non-coding RNA is filed under the name Homo sapiens (human). RNAcentral's name for it is "HSALNT0299473". Lineage: Eukaryota; Metazoa; Chordata; Mammalia; Primates; Hominidae. The record is from RNAcentral.
CAUAGGAUUCCUCACUUCUGGUUAGCCCACCUACGGCUUCCCCAUCCCACAGCCUCCAAUGAGGGCGCACCUGAAACCUUCCUUCCCUUUUUUCCGCCAUGAAGCUUUCCCAUUCCUGUCCCUGCCUGUGAGUCUCUGCCAAACUCAAGCAACAGCAGCUGACUGCCUUGCUAGAGCAAGCUCUGGAUAUAUAGCUGAUGUAAUCUGGGUGUUUGUUCCCUCCAGAUCUCAUGUUGAAAUGUAAUCCCCAGUGUUGGAGGAGGGGCCUCGUGGGAGGUGUUAGGGUCCUGGAGGUGGAUCCCUCAUGAGCGGCUUAGCACUAUCCCCUCGGUGAAGACUGAGUUUUCAGUUCAUGCGAGAUCUGAUUGUUUAAAAGAGUGCAGCACUUCCUCCACCUUGCUCCCUCUCUUGCCACUGAUGUGCCUGCUUCCCCUUCACCUUCUGCCUGGAUUGUAAGCUCCCUGAGAACCUCACCAGAAGCAGAUGCCAGCACCACGCUUCCUAUACAGCCUGCCAAAAUCAUCCCGCCUCCAGAGCCCUGUGGGUUGAAGACCGCUGUGCUCUUUUCUUUCGGCUUCACACGCUGGUUAGUCUUCUGUUUGCUUUGUCAGCACGGUACUUUUCAUUUCCUUCGUGGUGUUUUUAGGAGCUCCUGAAUUUCACAGACAAAUCCAGACCCCUGUGUGGAAAGCCUGCGGUGGUGUUCUCCGUCUUCCCACAGGACUCCCUGCAGCCAGGAAUUCUAGGGGAGCACCUGACGCGAGGUAUACGCCCAGAUGGCCUGAAGUAACUGAAGAAUCACAAAAGAAGUGAAAAUGUCCUGCCCCGCCUUAACUGAUGACAUUCCACCACAAAGGAAGUGUCAAUGGCUGGUCCUUGCCUUAACUGAUGACAUUCCACCGCAAAAGAAGUGAAAAUGGCCGGUCCUUGCCUUAACUGAUGACAUUACACCACAAAAGAAGUGAAAAUGGCCGGUCCUUGCCUUAAGUGAUGGCAUUACCUUGUGAAAGUCCUUUUCCUGGCUCAUUCUGGCUCAAAAUCACCCCCACUGAGCACCUUGUGACCCCCACUCCUGCCCGCCAGGGAACAAUCCCCCUUUGACUGUAAUUUUCCUUUACCUACCCAAAUCUUAUAAAAUGGCCCCACCCCUAUCUCCCUUUGCUGACUCUCUUUUUGGACUCAGCCUGCCUGCAUCCAGGUGAUUAAAAGCUUUUAUUGCUCACACAAAGCCUGUUUGGUGGUCUUUUCAUACGGAUGUGCGUGAAAACCACAAUAUUCCUG